This 30-nucleotide non-coding RNA is filed under the name Homo sapiens (human). The record is from RNAcentral. Lineage: Eukaryota; Metazoa; Chordata; Mammalia; Primates; Hominidae.
UUCAGGGUUGAUGGCGAUGGUACCUUACUC